RNAcentral lists this ribosomal RNA (497 nucleotides) under uncultured bacterium. Its description in RNAcentral is "partial 16S ribosomal RNA". It matches the Rfam family "Bacterial small subunit ribosomal RNA", at positions 28 to 507 of the family's 1533-position model. The record is from RNAcentral.
GAUGAACGCUGGCGGCGUGCCUAAUACAUGCAAGUCGAGCGAACAGACGAGGAGCUUGCUCCUCUGACGUUAGCGGCGGACGGGUGAGUAACACGUGGAUAACCUACCUAUAAGACUGGGAUAACUUCGGGAAACCGGAGCUAAUACCGGAUAAUAUAUUGAACCGCAUGGUUCAAUAGUGAAAGACGGUUUUGCUGUUACUUAUCGAUGGAUCCGCGCUGCAUUAGCUAGUUGGUAGGGUAAAGGCUUAUCAAGGCAACGCGGGGUAGCCGACCUGCGAGGGUGAUCGGCCACACGGGAGCUGAAACACGGUCCAGGCUCCUGAGGGAGGCAGCAGUAGGGAAUCUUACGCAAUGGGCGAAAGCCUGACGGAGCAACGCCGCGUGAGUGAUGAAGGUCUUCGGAUCGUAAAACUCUGUUAUUAGGGAAGAACAGAUGUGUAAGUAACUAUGCACGUCUUGACGGUACCUAAUCAGAAAGCCACGGCUAACUACGUG